GGGGGUAUAGCUCAGUGGUAGAGCGCUCCCUUAGCAUGGGAGAGGGCUGCGGUUCAAUUCCCCAUACCUCCA
Dictyocaulus viviparus (bovine lungworm) is the source of this 72-nucleotide non-coding RNA. The record is from Rfam. Lineage: Eukaryota; Metazoa; Nematoda; Chromadorea; Rhabditida; Metastrongylidae.